This 559-nucleotide long non-coding RNA is filed under the name Mytilus galloprovincialis (Mediterranean mussel). The record is from RNAcentral. Lineage: Eukaryota; Metazoa; Mollusca; Bivalvia; Mytilida; Mytilidae.
GUAGUACGUACAAUGACGUUUACAAUCCGUCUGCUAUUGCCCACUUAACACAGAAAUGCUAUGUAUAUAUUUUAUCAUAGUUUUAGUAUUCUGCAGAUGUUUAUUGAGAAACAACAUAUCGCAAGAGAGUAAUGGAAAACGACAAUUGUGUGUAUUUUGUGAAAAUUCAUGUUUCCGACGGAUCAGACAGACUUGAUUCAAUUUCAGUUGAGGAAGAUGUGCAAGGGAAGAUAUUAUUUACACACCAAUUAGACGAUUCUGACAAUUCUGAUACAUUGUCCAUACAUCAGGAGUUCACUAGAAAUAUCUCGUUAUCAUCACAUCAAAAGAAACAUAGAUCAUCGAUUUUAGACAAUUUAAAACUAUUUCCAAACGAGUCUACACGUAAAAAUCUAAUACGCGCCAUACUUAUUCUUACUUGUAUGUUUGUUUUGUUAAGUGGAAUUUUACUAAUAGUUACACUAAACAUGUCUGAAGAAAUAGACGAUAAAGGUAAGGACUGUCAAUGCGAAGUAGAAUAGAGAAUGGAAACGGUAAAUGUGUUAGAAAGACAAAAACC